CUUUACUGACGCUAAAGCUCGAAGGUGCGGGUAUCGAACAGGAUUAGAUACCCUGGUAGUCCGCACGGUAAACGAUGGAUGCCCGCUGUUGGCGAUAUACAGCCAGUGGCCAAGCGAAAGCGUUAAGCAUCCCACCUGGGGAGUACGCCGGCAACGGUGAAACUCAAAGGAAUUGACGGGGGCCCGCACAAGCGGAGGAACAUGUGGUUUAAUUCGAUGAUACGCGAGGAACCUUACCCGGGCUUGAACUGCAGGAGAACGAUCCAGAGAUGGUGAGGCCCUUCGGGGCUCCUGUGGAGGUGCUGCAUGGUUGUCGUCAGCUCGUGCCGUGAGGUGUCGGCUUAAGUGCCAUAACGAGCGCAACCCCUUUCGCCAGUUGCCAUCAGGUGAUGCUGGGCACCCCGGCGACACUGCCACCGCAAGGUGUGAGGAAGGUGGGGAUGACGUCAAAUCAGCACGGCCCUUACGUCCGGGGCUACACACGUGUUACAAUGGGGAGUACAGAGAGUCAGGCGUUGGCAACACCGCCUUAAUCAAUAAAGCUCUCCUCAGUUCGGAUUGGGGUCUGCAACCCGACCCCAUGAAGCUGGAUUCGCUAGU
This 600-nucleotide ribosomal RNA is filed under the name uncultured bacterium. Its description in RNAcentral is "bacterial SSU rRNA". It matches the Rfam family "Bacterial small subunit ribosomal RNA", at positions 735 to 1339 of the family's 1533-position model. The record is from RNAcentral.